CGGGGAGGGGGCAGGCCCGGGAAGCCCUGCCGGCGGCCGGCCAUCUGCCCAGAGCCACUCUGCGGUGACUUCCGAGGGCUUAGCCACGGGCUGGUUCCACUCAAGCCUCUUCGGUUCGUUUCAAGGUGCAAGAAGCAAAAAUCACCGAAGCGAAGAUCAACGAGGCAAGAGAAAACUACCGGCCUGCGGCGGAGAGGGCCUCCCUGCUCUACUUCAUACUGAACGACCUCAACAAAAUCAACCCCAUCUAUCAGUUCUCCCUCAAGGCCUUCCACGUGGUGUUCGAGAAAGCCAUCCAGCGGACGGCGCCGGCCG
RNAcentral lists this long non-coding RNA (315 nucleotides) under Dasypus novemcinctus (nine-banded armadillo). RNAcentral describes it as "lncRNA (ENSDNOG00000051784.1)". Lineage: Eukaryota; Metazoa; Chordata; Mammalia; Cingulata; Dasypodidae. The record is from RNAcentral.